AAGUUAAUAAACCCAUCUUUUCUCUUGGUUCUUUCUCCCCACUGUUCCUAGAUCUCUCCUCUGGGGCCAAGAAGAACAUGGCCCAUGACUCAUCCACACGGCUAUUGUGUCUCCAGAUCCUUCCACCAGGCCUCAGACAGCCCCCUCUGGCCACUCUCCUAAAAUGGGGUGCCCAGGACAGAAUGCACCACUUUAGAUGGGCCGGGCCCUGGGAUUCUUUAAAUGCAGCCCGAAAGUGUUCAUUUGGGGACACCGAAGUCCAAAGAAAACAACGGGCGGCUCCCCUCUGCCCAGAGAAUCCAACACUCCAGCUGAAUGAUGGGAGGGAAUGGCCAAGCUCUCGCCUAGAUCCUGGGCACUCUCUGCUUUCUCCAGACCUCCUGGCAUUUCUUCCUUGUCCCUCCAGCAGCCCAAGGACCUAGGCAAAAGGCAGGCAGUGAAACAAACCGCUGAACAGAGAAGAGGAGAAGAGAAAACCAAUCUGCCACCAAAGUGGGCAAUGCUUUCAAAAUGUUGGAUGGUUUCAUGCUUCUGGACCCCAGGGUGUCUUCUUCCUCUUCUUGUGAAGUUUGCACCAUUCACUUUUGAGUAUUUCAUGGUCGGUUAUUCUUCCUAUUUCCAUCAUUGGAACUGUGUUGACUGUUUUGCCUUCCUUCAUUCGGCAUCGAUUGCCCCCUUGGUAUUUGCCAUGUUUGUCAUUUCUUAGGCCACAGUCAGAUUCCAUUCCACCCGUGUAGCUGUUCCCCAAUAGAUGGGCGUCGACUUUGGGGCCAGUUCUUUGCUCCCCUAUCCACAUGCUUUUGGUCAAAGACCUCCUUGGGGCAUGUGCCUGGCGGCAGUGAGAUCUCUGGGGCAAAGGGCUUUGAUGGAUAUUGUAGUCACUUUCUCUGCAUAAUUCCCAAUGGUUUUCCAUAAUGGUUGGACAAGUUCGCCAGCGGUUGAUUCCUGCCAGGUAAUGGUUCCUGGUCAACUCCCUCCAUCUGCCCCGCCCUACACCCCUCCCUCUGCUACUCCUCAGUGCCCCUAGCUCUUGAUUUGGGAUAGACAAGCUUAACUAGCUCCUCCUUUG
Non-coding RNA from Phascolarctos cinereus (koala), 1069 nucleotides. The record is from RefSeq and is a predicted model, not a curated record. Lineage: Eukaryota; Metazoa; Chordata; Mammalia; Diprotodontia; Phascolarctidae.